RNAcentral lists this ribosomal RNA (429 nucleotides) under uncultured bacterium. RNAcentral describes it as "bacterial SSU rRNA". It matches the Rfam family "Bacterial small subunit ribosomal RNA", at positions 355 to 776 of the family's 1533-position model. The record is from RNAcentral.
UAGGGAAUCUUCCACAAUGGACGCAAGUCUGAUGGAGCAACGCCGCGUGAGUGAAGAAGGUUUUCGGAUCGUAAAACUCUGUUGUAAGGGAAGAACAAGUACAGUAGUAACUGGCUGUACCUUGACGGUACCUUAUUAGAAAGCCACGGCUAACUACGUGCCAGCAGCCGCGGUAAUACGUAGGUGGCAAGCGUUGUCCGGAAUUAUUGGGCGUAAAGCGCGCGCAGGCGGUCCUUUAAGUCUGAUGUGAAAGCCCACGGCUCAACCGUGGAGGGUCAUUGGAAACUGGGGGACUUGAGUGCAGAAGAGGAAAGUGGAAUUCCAAGUGUAGCGGUGAAAUGCGUAGAGAUUUGGAGGAACACCAGUGGCGAAGGCGACUUUCUGGUCUGUAACUGACGCUGAGGCGCGAAAGCGUGGGGAGCAAACAGG